GACGAACGCUGGCGGCGUGCUUAACACAUGCAAGUCGAACGGAAAGGCCCUGCUUUUGUGGGGUGCUCGAGUGGCGAACGGGUGAGUAACACGUGAGUAACCUGCCCUUGACUUUGGGAUAACUUCAGGAAACUGGGGCUAAUACCGGAUAGGAGCUCCUGCUGCAUGGUGGGGGUUGGAAAGUUUCGGCGGUUGGGGAUGGACUCGCGGCUUAUCAGCUUGUUGGUGGGGUAGUGGCUUACCAAGGCGUUGACGGGUAGCCGGCCUGAGAGGGUGACCGGCCACGUUGCGCCGGCCGUCCGCCCCCGCCGUCUACGGGCGGCAGCGUUCGGAGAUCUUGCACAUUGGGGCUACGCCUGAUCCAGCCACGCGUCGGGCGGUAUCCCGGCUUGCUGUUUCUACGCCCCUUCUCCCUGUGAUGAAGCGUGAAGGCGGGUAAUGGAUAAGGCACCACCGUCUACACACUUGCCAGCGCCCCGGGUAAUAGAUCCGCCCCCGUCUACAC
This 505-nucleotide ribosomal RNA is filed under the name uncultured bacterium. RNAcentral's name for it is "partial 16S ribosomal RNA". The stretch from base 15 to 371 matches the Rfam family "Bacterial small subunit ribosomal RNA", at positions 42 to 397 of the family's 1533-position model. The record is from RNAcentral.